Molecule: ribosomal RNA, 460 nt
Filed under: uncultured bacterium
Lineage: Bacteria
Description: partial 16S ribosomal RNA
Rfam family: Bacterial small subunit ribosomal RNA
Source: RNAcentral
CCUACGGGAGGCAGCAGUGAGGAAUAUUGGUCAAUGGACGAGAGUCUGAACCAGCCAAAUAGCGUGAAGGAUGACUGCCCUAUGGGUUGUAAACUUCUUUUAUAAAGGAAUAAAACGAGGCACGUGUGCCUUUUUGCAUGUACUUUAUGAAUAAGGAUCGGCUAACUCCGUUCCAGCAGCCGCGGUAAUACGGAGGAUCCGCGCGUUAUCCGGAUGUAUUGGGUUUAAAGGGAGCGUAGAUGGGUUGUUAAGUCAGUUGUGAAAGUUUGCGGAUCAACCGUAAAAUUGCAAUUGAUACUGGCAGUCUUGAGUACAGUUGAGGUAGGCGGAAUUCGUGGUGUAGCGGUGAAAUGCUUAGAUAUCACGAAGAACCCCGAUUGCGAAGGCAGCUUACUAAACUGUGACUGACAUUGAUGCUCGAAAGUGUGGGUAUCAAACAGGAUUAGAUACCCUGGUAGUC